This 9807-nucleotide long non-coding RNA is filed under the name Elaeis guineensis (African oil palm). RNAcentral describes it as "long non-coding RNA (EGUI_LNC000229)". Lineage: Eukaryota; Viridiplantae; Streptophyta; Magnoliopsida; Arecales; Arecaceae. The record is from RNAcentral.
CUUGCUGCUAAGAUCCCACCACAGGCUGUGCAACUCCUUGGGCCUUCGCUGCCGCUUGGGCCGCCGCCGCAGCAGCUGCUGCGGCUGCAGCGGAUGCAGCGGAUGGAGGUGCCGUUGGCACAGCAGGGGUGGUGGUUGUUUGUGGGGCAGUCGCAACUUGCUGCUGCUGCUGGGCGUUCACCUGGGCAAGCAAAUUCUUGAUCUGAGCCCCAGAAAGUGUCUCAUGCUCGAGAAGAGCAUUGGCGAGGGCAUGCAGCUCUUUACUGUUAGUUGUCAAUAUAGUUUUCGCAUUGUUAUAUGCCCUUUCCAGAAAGUCCCUCACCUCCUCCUCAAUAAGCAGCCUUGUCUCGGUGCUCAUGCUCUUACCAUUGUCAUCAUAGUCGUGUGCAACAAGACCCACCUGCUUGCUCAUACCAUACUUUGUAACCAUGGCUCUUGCUAGAUAAGUAGCUUGUUUGAGAUCAGAGGAAGCACCAGAAGUCACCUCGUUUUCCCCGAAUAUUAGUUCUUCAGCCACCCGUCCACCCAUGCAAACGUCCAGCCUUGCAAGCAUUUGCUUCCGAGAGAUGCUGGUCUCAUCCUUUUCCGGCAGUUGGGCGACCAUGCCGAGCGACAUCCCCCUUGGAACGAUGGUAGCUUUAUGGACCGGGAGGGCGCCGUCGGUGUGGAUGGCCACAAGAGCAUGACCGCCCUCAUGGUAAGCUGUCAGCCUCCUUGAUUCAUCAGAAAUCACUGCUGAUUUGCGUUCGCUGCCCAUCAUGAUCCUGUCCUUGGCAUACUCCAGAUCAGACAUGCUCACAGCUUUGGCCCCAUCCAUAGCAGCCUUAAGGGCAGCAAUGUUGACCAGGUUUGCAAGGUCAGCACCAGAGAACCCAGGUGUUCCCCUUGCAAUGAUCAUUAGAUCUACAUCAUCUGCCUUCAACACCUGCAUCAAAAUAAAUAACAUUUUUAUGCCAACAAUUUAUAGAUGCUAUCUUUUUUAAGGUUCUUUUAAGGGCCAUCUUCAUGGCCUGAUGUUAAUGUUGCAUGGACACAUGUAAAGCAUAUCCAAAUGUUGGACACAGCAAGAAGAAAACACAAAAAAAAAAGGAAAAAUAUAUAAAUAUCUUUAAUAUUCUUUGUUUAAAGAUUAAGAAAACAUUGUUGGUUAAGAUCCAUCAAUAUACAAGUUUUCCACUAAGCUAUCCAAUUAAUUUAAUAUGAAAAAUAACAUUUUCCAAAGUAAUUUCAGUGCUUUCAUCGAUGGUUCAUCACUAAAAACAAAGAAUGCUCAUUUCUAUCACGAAAGUAGAGGGCCAAACUUAUUAUUCGAAGAGUUCGACUGAACUCUCCUCCAAUGCUUUAGAGAACAUAACAUCCGUGUCUGAUACACAUCUGAAUCAGGUAUGUAUCUAAUACGGAUAUUUGUCCAGAUAUCAAAGGCCUGACGCCCAGCACAAGUGGCAAAUUGCAUGCAUUGGAACCUCUCGCAGCAAGGCAUCCAAAGUCGGAAGAACUCAAAUGCAUGAUAAGAUAAAUCUUACAGUUCAACAAUAAAGAAUAAAAAAUAUGUGAGGAGACAUUUAGUUACCUUUGACAUGUGGGAUUCCAUGAUCUGCCUUCGGCCCUCUACAUCUGGAUUAGGAACAGCAAUGUGACGGUCAAAGCGUCCGGGUCUCACAAGGGCUUUGUCCAAUGAUUCAGGAAAGUUGGUUGCAGCGAUGACGAUAAUCCCUUCAUUCUGCUUAAAGCCAUCCAACUCAACAAGCAACUGAUUCAGGGUCAUCUUCAUGUACUGUUGGUCCUUUGGGUUGCGGCUCCCACCUAUUGCAUCAAUCUCAUCUAUGAAAAUUAUGCAGGGGGAUCGUUUCUUUGCAGCAGCAAAAAGAUCCCUCACCCUCCUAGCUCCCACACCGACAAACAUCUCCUCAAAUUCACUGCCACUGCAUGAAAAGAAAGGAACACCAGCUUCACCAGCAAUAGCCCUUGCUAACAUGGUCUUCCCUGUCCCGGGUGGACCAACAAGCAAGACACCUUUGGGAAGCUUGCCACCGAGACGGGUGAAACGCUGGAACAACCAACACACAGCAUCUAAGUAAAUUUAUUCUACACAAAUAAUGCAUGACGUGUCGAUCGUAGAUUGACUGAUGCAUCAUAAAGCAUAUAAGUCGGACAAUAGAAGCAUUAGAAAAAAGAAAAAUUGAAGCUCAGAAAUAAGCAAGUUGUAAGGCACUUGAUAACACUUCUUGAUCAUUAGUAGGAACUUGAUGAUUAAAGCACGCGCACACAAGCAAACUAGGAUUGAAUCAGCUAAAGAGUCGGAGUUCGGUCUGUUUGUUAAUCCUAUGAAUGGGAUGAAAUUUAGAUGGGAAAGGAGGAGAGAGAAACACGGGUGGGAAAGUCAGCAGGACAGUUGACGUAUUUUUUACAGAUAAUUAGGAGGGUACUCUUCGUACAAAAAAUGAGAAACGGAAUCAAGAAGGAAUAUUCCUGAUUUCAAAAUUGUCAUAUUGUCAUGUAAACUAGCAACCGGUCGCACAAUAAAGGGUAAAAAGAGGAGAAAGUAACUGAUAGAAUACAAUCUUUUUAGUCAUAUAAACGAAUCCAAUUUAUAUGGGAGUUGAAUCAGAGAAAGAAAUUAAUACAAUAUAUUUGGGAGUUUUAUGAAAGGGGUCUGAUUUGAUUAAAAAAAGUUGACAUAUCAAGAAAGCUAAUAGGAUAAUUAACAUAUUCUUUAAAAUAAUAGGAGGGGUACUCUCGCUAUAAAAAGUGACAUAAAUAAUCAAGAAGGAAAAUUGCCAGAUUUCAGAACUGUUAUUUUUAUAAUAUAGUAUAGAUAGAUAUUUAACAGCAUACAUCUUUCGACAUAAGAAACCUCAGAUAACUAGGGCAAGAAGGAUAUUCCAUAAAUUUGCAUAUGAUGAGUUUGCUUUUACCUUUGGAUCACGAAGAUAAUGAACAAUUUCCUCUAGUUCAGCCUUAGCCUCAUCAAUGCCCUUUACAUCAUUAAAUUUUGUACUAGAAUCCAUGCUUGGCUGCACCUCCUCAUGUAGACCCAGCCCUGUGUAGAAUUAUUACAGGAAACAAAAGUUUCAACAACUGAAAUAUGGCAAAAAAAAAAAAGUUUUUUGACAAGGAAGCAGUUAAUCAUAAGAUACAACAAACCUUUACUAAUUCCCCUAUCCUCAAUGAGUGCUCCAACACCAGAUAUCAAAAGAAAGGUAAGGGCAAUUGUGCGGAAUGUACGCCAUAAUUGCUCUUUAAAUUGACCAGUUUCUGCUGUCACCAUGUGAAUAGGGGCAUUUGCAGUUCCAAGAAUUCCUUCCUUGGUCAUCUGGCCUACAUUCCUCAAUGCCGGCAUGCUGCUGAUACUCUCUUCCUCCCUUGCUGAAUUAACAAUCCCUACAUAUUAUCGUCCAGGUUUCUAAGUCACCCUGAGAGACUAGGCAUAUACUCACGAAUGGAAGCAAGUUACAUGAAAAUAAUAACCUUAAACUUAGAAGAAGAUACACCAAAAGUUAACAAGCAGAACGGCUUAACUUUGGAGACACAUAAAUACCACUCAUAAAUGUAAAAUUUGGGAGUGAUGGGACACUGCAAAAGACAAUUGUAGAUGGAUUUCCUUCACCAAUAUAUAUAUAUAUAUAUAUAUAUAUAUAUAUAUAUAUAUAUAUUAUUNNNNNNNNNNNNNNNNNNNNGUUCUUCUACACUAUAUAUAUAUAUAUAUAUAUAUAUAUAUAUAUAUAUAUAUGCAUUUUCGAUCUAGUGAGGGGACAUAGAACCAAUGUACAUAGACUAUAUUAGAAUAUAUGUUAACAGAUUUCUAUAUACAAUCUAAACACAGCCACAAUGUUUUAUUCCACAGGUUGAGAUCCAAUCUUUGUUUCAGGCUUUCAGCCUCGAAAGGUGUAGUUCUUUUAGUGUCUUGAUGAUUUCCAGAGCAUAUAAGCACCUUGCAAGCUUGUGCAGACCAGGCUUUCAUGAGUUCACCACUCAGUGUCAAGUUUAUGAUCAAUGACUAAAUUGAGACAACUUUGAUGACCAUGGCCUAAAAAUAGAAGAUUUAGAAUUUUAAGAGUUCACUAGUUGAAAAUAAUGUGAUCAAAGAACCUUCGAAGAUCUACAGUCAAUUAUAUGCUAAUUUCUUUAUACCUUAUAUUUAGGGAUGCUCAUUGAAGAUACUAUGAUAUAUUUAUUCAUGAAAGAAUCCCACAAAAGCCACAUCCUGUAUGGAUGAUAUACAUUAUAGCAACCUCAGAAAUCAAAAUAUGAUCCAUAAAACCUACUAUUAGGUACUAACCUAAUUUCAACCCUCUGAAUAAGUGUACAAUUCUCAAAGAAUGCAUAUUUGGGCAGCAGGGCUUCCAAGACAAAAAAUGAAAAGAUGCAUUCAGAAACUUUUCAGGAACCACUAUUGAAAAGAUAUACAUGUCAUUGGCAACAAAGUGGUAGGAAAAAUAAACUGAUAUGCAUGGUCAAAUAUCAUCACAUUUUAUAAAAUAUUAUUCUGAGAGUACUAGGUACCCCUGAGGUAGUGUUUGUUCAUGCUUCUCCAUUAUGAAGUAACAGAUAACCACGGGGGUUACUAGAGAAGCUGAAUUCAAACAAAUGUCCGAAGAUAGGGCAACCACAUAGAGGUUACAAGAACAGGAUUCAGUUUAAUGGCAAAGACUAGAAAGGCUCAGAACAGAAAAAGGCAUGGGCUGAGCAAAUAUGGUAAAAUGGAAUGCAUCGAUCUGACCAAAAUAGAUAUGAACAUGGUAACAUCUAUUUAUUAUUAUCAUUUAGGGUGCUAUAGCAGCACUUGUAAGAUCGACAGAUAAAUCCAGGAAGAUAACCUUCCCCAACUCUGCAUGAUUAUGAUAGAAGCACCACAUGGAUGUGCAACAAUAUUAACACAUUCAUCAAUUGGCAAAGCACUUCUUUUAUUCCAUACUACGCACUCACAACUGCAUACUAAUGUUACAGAAUGAAACCAUAGAUGCUUGAUAAUAGUCAUAAAAGUAACGUGACUCCGCAGUGAAACAAAAUUGCCACUCCAUUACAAGCCAUGUACUUGAUAGUGACAUCAUCACAUCAUGCAAGCCAAAAUCCCUCACAUACCAUAAGGUGAGGUCAUUAUGGAACGUAGUGUAUUACCUCUCUGCAAUGUCUUGAGCAAGGAGCUUUCAUCCAGCCUAUCAACUUGAACUAAUGCUUUAACAUACUCCGCAAGCGCUGAAGGGUUAGAAUGCAGUGAAGGCUGACUUUCAAAUAGUCUAAUAACUCUUUCUGGAUCACUUCUGUAAAGUUCUUUAAGCAGUGCAACAUCAUUGGUUCCAUCUACAUCCCGUGCUCUGCGAGCAAAACUACCAACAUAGCUUGACUGAAACCUUUGGUGAAAAUUUCUAAGUCUGUUUCCUGCAAUCAGCAAACGUAUAAGAAAAUCAUAGUACGAGGAAAAGAGUAAUGCAUUUUCCAGUACAUAAACGGAAAACUAUCAAGUACAACCCAAAGUUUCGAAGGCUUAUUUUAAUUAGAAUGAAUGCAAUUCCAUUUUUAAAAUAACCGAGGUGGAAAAUAUAGCCUAAGUUUCUUAUAAAGAAAAUAAAAACAAGGCUCGUUUUAAUACAGGUGACUUCAAUGAACAUUCACAGCUUAUCAGUCAGAAGUAUAGUCAGUUUCAGAUUGUUUCAGACAAGACAUACCAGUCUCGUAUGGAAAAAAAAAGCAACUUAAGCUAACUAGUAAGUCCUAUUUGAAAGAUACAAACCCAAAUGCACAUAGAAGUAGAAGUUGACCUAAUGGGUCUUCAUGAGCAUUUGGGAAAAAAAUUACAAUAUGUCCGGCACGAAUACAGAUGGAACAUCCCUUAGUUCUUUUUAAUCAAAACCAAAAAUGCUCUGUCAUAUCCAUGGAGAUAUGGAUGCUAGUAAGCCAUCUUGUAGCUUAUGGAUUAAUCAUGCUAAGCUGCUUCCUCAGUGUUCCACCAGGUCGCUUGUCACCUACCUAGUUGACCAAGUUUGCACCAUAACCACAACAAACAUACACCAUCCUAUCAAUAGAAGGCUCUCUGUAACUUCAUGACAGGCAGAAAGGUUUGCAUCAGAAAAUAUUUUUAAAGCAUUCCUAAGGGUUGUCUAUUGUUUUUGUUAUAUUUUCAAGCAUACCAUGGUUCUGAUGGUUAUAACAUUUACCUUUUUUCUCUUUUCUUUCUAGUUUCAAAUCACUCAUGGGUAAAACUAUACUCAAAUACUUAAGCCUAUAAAUGCAAAUUACUAGUCAUAAUUAUGCCAAAAAAAAGAUAAAAAUGGGAUCCACAAGGAGCUAAUUGCAAAAUGAUUUAUGGAAAGAGAAAAAGGAAAGGAGAGAGUUUCAAACUCCAAUUUAUUCUAAGAACGAGGGAGGAAAGAGCUGAAAAAAAGCAUUAGGCCACAUACAAAGUUCCUCAAUCGAACUCUUGCAAAGCUAUGAACCAAUUCCACAGCAUACCUUAAUAAUGUUCUCCAGUAUUACCUAGAAACUUCAAAAACUCUCUAUUUUUUUUUUUUGGCAGUAUCUGGGCACUUGGACACCUCAAUACUUCAUGACACUCCUUGAGCAAAUCGUGAUAUCAUCACAAUUAUAUAUCAACUUUUGGAACUUCUACUUAUAACAUGUCAGGUCUAACAUAAUAUUUGGCAACGGUUUUUGAAUUCUAUCAAAUUACAAAACAAAUUGUCCAGAAAAUUAUUCAUUAAUACAUAAAUCUACAAUAUAUUUAUAUUUGUAUAAUACAAACAUGUUUGCAUAUCCAAUUUUUUCAAAGAUCCCACGUCUGACUCUUCUAGACACUUGGAACUUGACACCCAUGUCUCUUGUCCAAAAAACAUCGUUACUGUCCUCUAAGAUCUUUAAAUUUUAUCAACAAUAUGAUCUAAUCCCUCAAUUGUUCCUUUUUCUCAAGGCAAAAGAAAACGGAUCCAUGUUUGUUAAACAAGGUAAAUUUUACGCCUUUGUUACUGCAAUCCUCACCUCAUACAAAUUCCUUUAGUCAACCGUCACACAACACGCCACCAGGGAUUAAUUUUGAACAAUGAGAAAUUGCUGAGUACCUUAAAAAAUUUACAAGAACAUCAAUCCUUCCUGAGAACAGUAAAAGGUAAAACAUCAAUCAACACUACAAGACCAUUUUAUAUAAAUAUUAGUUGUCCAUAUAGAACAGAGAGAACAAAUAUAGAUUCUUAAAAAAUUUAACAAAAUUCACACAAUACCUGAAACAAUGAAGUAUUGAUUUCUUAAUAAGGCAACAAACAAUAACAUGACUACAAGCAAAAUAGGGCACUCCUAUAGGGCGGCUGAUAAUAUAGCAAACUUAUGUGGACAUAAUUUUCCAUCAGAUCUUUGUCUUGUAUCCUAUUUUUUCAUGAAACCAAUUAAGCACUAAAACAACCAAAUGAAACAAGAAUGAUCCUAGCAGGAACAUGUAAGUAAAAAUGAUAAGAUAUGCAUCCUAAUGGGUGACUAGCUUAAAGAAACAACAUGCACUGUUUAUUUCUAAAUAAGCAAGUACAUAUAAGAGAAAUUAGAAACUUGCAAACAGUAGUACUGGAAGCUAAACCAAUGGCAUGAACAAGGUCCAAGAUAACAACUUUAAACAGGAUAUGAGUUUAUCUUUGUAGCCAAAGAAGUUGAGUUACAAACAAAAAUUUGGUAAUUUGGAGUGAAUUGGACAUAAAUCAAAAUUGUCAAUAUAUUCAUUAAAAAUGAGAACAAUGAGAUAUGCAUACCUCCACUACCUUCGGCGAAGUAUAAAGCAGGAUGAGAUUUACCAGUUAACUGAUAUAAGUAUGGAUGCUCCAACUUCUGUUUUGCUAUCUAUUACAAUAUAAACAAAAUCAGAAUUAAAGUAAGAAAGGACAUAACAUAAUGUAAGGAACAAUUAUUUUCUAGUAACUGCUUCAUUUGGAACAACAUGUUGAAAAAAAAUGGCCAAUAGUUUCCCUUAAAAAAAUUGGCCACCAAAAAGGAAAUUGGCGCAAAAGAUGUCCUCUCAUCAGCAGAAUAUAGAAAGGUAUGUCAAGCAAUGAAGCAGUCAUCCGCAUAAAUUGCCAUCAAAAAGAAAAGAAAAAGAGCAGUACGACAAAUCAGAUAAUCUCACGAUCACUACAUAAGCACUAAGAUUAAAGCAAAUAGGAAUGUCAUAUUCUCCUAUAUAUGCCACAGAUACAACAAAAACAGCUUCUUCUCUUGUCGAAUUUGUUGCUGUCAAGAACGCUUCAACAAACGGUUAAUGAAGAAUAUAAUUGUACCCUUGGAAGAUUGUUGGCUAUGCAUUUCUUCCUAUUCCACCCAAAGUGGGUACUACCAUUUCCCAUUAGAUUGUUAAAAACCAGUGCUGUUAAAGGCAGUUGCCUAGGCAGCAGAAUAGAUGCCAAAUUGUGCCAGAGAACCUAGGCCAAGAAUGCCUAGAGCUUUACUUGGUUAAAGGCAUGUUUUUCCCUUCUCUUGCCCAAUAUAAUCCCAUAUAAGACCUUCAGAAGGGUGGUGAAGGCCACCACCAACCCAUCAAUUGCUCAUAGGUUAGUCAAUGGUUAUUGUUGGAUCGGAGAUGAUGGAUGGUCGUGGUGAUGGCAAACACUUAUCACCGGUGCCAAGAAUGUAAAUAUGUCUUACUUUUUUCUACCUCUCUCAAGAAUGUAAUAUUACUUACUUUUUUUCUGCCUCUCUCAAUUCCAUACUUUUUUCUUCUUGAGACGAAUCCUCAUAAUCAACUCCUCUUUGAGGUGGUUACCUAGGAUGCCACCUAGGUACCAAAUUGAGCCAGGUUGCUUAGGCCAAGCUUGCUAAAGCUUCACUUCAUCAAGGUGCAGAUUGGUUGGGGAAUAAGUGGGGGGUUAUUCCUCCAAAUGGAGGAUAUCCCCCUAAAUUCUUGCGAAACACCAAAAAGGAGAGAGAGGGAAAGGGGGGUUUUUUUCUCAGGGGGUGGGUGGUUGUGGGGGUUGGUGUGGGGGGGGCUUGUACCAUGUGGGUGGAUAUCCCCCUCAUAUUGUGUAUAUCUCACCAAAAUGAUGGAAUAGACUUAUAACAUGGAAUAGGAUUGUCCCUAUCCCCUUCAAUUACCAUUUUGCCCACUUUUUUCUUCCUUUCUCAAUUCCAUUCUUUCUUCUUCUUUAGACUAAUCCUCCUUCUCCUUUGAUUUUCUUUCUUCCUUUUCUUCUACUACUGCUGCCUCAUUUCACCAUGCUUCCCUUGUUUUUCAUGUUUUUGGCUUUAGUCUUGCUCACUAUCCUAUGUUCUCUUGCCUCCUUUUCUCCUUCCUUCUUCAUUUUCUUCCACUAUUGCUUCUUCAGUUGGCCAUAUUUCCCUAGUUUUUCAUGUUUUUGCUUUUCAUCUUGAUCACCAUCCUAUGGUUUGCUUGCCACCUCCUACAUUCCUUCUUCUUGAUGGCUGUUUGCUAUGGCCCUGCAGUCUGCUGGCUGCUACUUCCCUACCAUUCUAUUCUUCCCUUCUAUUCCUUGCUAGGCGGUGGCCACCUAGCUAUGGCUCCAUAGUUGCUAGUUGCUGCAAUGGCAACAAUUCUUAGUAAUGCUCUCCUUCUUCUUGUGGAUGUUGAUCUUGGGACUUUUAAGUGUAAAAAAGGUUUUAUGCUGCAGUUUAUUGUAGAUAAUAAGUGCAUAAAAUGAUAUAUGCAUAACUAAUUUAUGUAAUCAAAAGCAUUCAUGAUUAAAACUUCCAGUGCUUUCCUCUCUAGGCAAUGCCUCGGUGCUCGACUAGGCCAUAAAAGGUGUCCACCAUUUGGCUUUGCCUAGUAAACUUAAUAACCUUGUUAAGAACAUGAGAAAAAUAGGUCAAGAGUCCAUUAUGCCC